GACCGCUCCGGUGGCCUAGUGGUUAGAGCGUCCGCCUAGGAUGCGUGAGGUCGCGGGUUUGAACUCUGCCCGAGUCA
This is a non-coding RNA of Potamilus streckersoni, 77 nucleotides long. Lineage: Eukaryota; Metazoa; Mollusca; Bivalvia; Unionida; Unionidae. The record is from the annotation of a GenBank genome assembly.